Molecule: small RNA, 514 nt
Filed under: Pan troglodytes (chimpanzee)
Lineage: Eukaryota; Metazoa; Chordata; Mammalia; Primates; Hominidae
Description: retained intron
Source: RNAcentral
GAAGACGCCAAGAUGGCGACGAGUCAGUAUUUCGACUUCGCGCAGGGCGGCGGCCCGCAGUACAGCGCCCAGCCUCCGACCCUUCCCCUGCCCACUGUGGGGGCCAGCUAUACUGCACAACCCACUCCUGGGAUGGACCCUGCCGUGAACCCGGCCUUUCCCGCAGCUGCCCCGGCAGGGUACGGUGGAUACCAGCCCCACUCCGGCCAGGACUUCGCCUACGGCAGCCGACCCCAGGAGACCGUCCCCACGGCCACCACCAUGGCUACCUACCAGGACAGUUACAGCUACGGACAGUCAGCAGCUGCCAGGAGCUAUGAGGACAGGCCGUACUUCCAGUCUGCUGCCCUCCAGUCUGGGCGCAUGACAGCCGCAGACUCCAGCCAGCCAGGUGAGCCAUCUGCAGGGUCGGGGCUGGGAACGAGGAGACGCUCCCCGCAGCACAGGGAAACCUUGGGAAACUUACUUUUUUUUUUUUUUAGACAGAGUCUCGCUCUGUUGCCCAGGCUGGAGU